This is a long non-coding RNA of Poecilia latipinna (sailfin molly), 606 nucleotides long. RefSeq lists it as uncharacterized. The record is from RefSeq and is a predicted model, not a curated record. The transcript has 6 exons. NCBI's taxonomy places the organism in Eukaryota, Metazoa, Chordata, Actinopteri, Cyprinodontiformes, Poeciliidae.
GUAUCAGCAACUUGAGCAGUUCUUCUGCUCAAACAAGUCACUUGGCUCCCAACAGUACAAGCAACAGCACUGUUCCAAGAACAACAGGCAUUGACAUUUUGCUAACAACAUUGAAUUUAAGUUCAUCAAGCAGAUCAGUUUCUCAAAUAAGUUACUCGACGUCACAACCUACAAAUGAAAGCACUUCAUCAGGUGCACAAGUCCAAGAAACUUUGUUUACAACCCCAAAAUUCAGGACCUCCAGCAGUUCAGAUUCUCAAACAAGUAGUGAGGCUUCAAAAAUGUCAGAAAACAUCACUUCAUCAGGGACUUCAGACCACAAUGGUUUGCCUACAAGCCCGACUUUCAGUAGCUCUAGCAGUUCUGGUCCUCAAACAGGUCAUUCGGCUUCAGAAAGUACAAACAACAUCACUUCAUCAGGGAAUAUAGACCAGAGUGGUUUCUCUACAAGUCCAACUUUCAACAGUUCCAACAGUUCUUUGCCUCAAACAAGUUAUUUGACGUCGCCACCUACAAAUGAAAUCACUUCAACAGGUGCAACAGACCAAAAAAGUUUUACAACCCAAAAUAUCAGCACCUCCAGCAAUUAUCUGUCUCCAACAAGUA